This 514-nucleotide ribosomal RNA is filed under the name uncultured bacterium. Its description in RNAcentral is "partial 16S ribosomal RNA". It matches the Rfam family "Bacterial small subunit ribosomal RNA", at positions 28 to 522 of the family's 1533-position model. The record is from RNAcentral.
GAUGAACGCUGGCGGCGUGCCUAAUACAUGCAAGUCGAGCGAAUGGAUUAAGAGCUUGCUCUUAUGAAGUUAGCGGCGGACGGGUGAGUAACACGUGGGUAACCUGCCCAUAAGACUAGGAUAACUCCGGGAAACCGGGGCUAAUACCGGAUAAUAUUUUGAACUGAAUGGUUCAAAAUUGAAAGGCGGCUUCGGCUGUCACUUAUGGAUGGACCCGCGUCGCAUUAGCGAGUUGGUGAGGUAACGGCUCACCAAGGCAACGAUGCGUAGCCGACCUGAGAGGGUGACCGGCCACGCUGGGACUGAGACACGGCCCAGACUCCUACGGGAGGCAGCAGUGGGGAAUAUUGCACAAUGGGCGCAAGCCUGAUGCAGCAACGCCGCGUGAGUGAUGAAGGCUUUCGGGUCGUAAAACUCUGUUGUUAGGGAAGAACAAGUGCUAGUUGAAUAAGCUGGCACCUUGACGGUACCUAACCAGAAAGCCACGGCUAACUACGUGCCAGCCGCCGCCUAA